UUCGUUAAGUGAUAGCUCUAGAGCGUGUCUAAAGUCGUCUUUGGAUUUUUUGGAUGCUGUGGUUUUUACGGAUUAUUUAGAUAGCUUGCGUGAAACACUUUAUAUUGGUUGGCUAAGAGAAUUCUGUACCCAAUUACUUUAAAAAACUUGGAAUCGCUGCUAUUUUCUGUUGAUGAAAAACAGGGAAGUGGUUCUAAAAAUGACUUACAUACUGAGAAAAAGGUAAUCUUUUCUUCUUGCUUUAAAGGAGGUUUUUUAUGAUUUGGUUUUGUUCUUUUUUUCCCAGCUGCCACAUGCUUUCAAAAGCGAUUCGAAGUGAGAAUGAAUGAUUUUAAACAUGCUGUAGUACAAAUUCCCGUUCAAGGGAAGAAGCACAAUAUUCAAAUAACAGAGGAAGUGCAAAAACAAAUUCUUGCUGACAAAGAAUUUGCCAAAGUGUUUUUCGAACAAGCUAGAGAGAAGAUAUAAAAGAAGUCUGCCCCAUCGAGUGAAGAUAUUUGGUCCAACGACAUCUCAAGUUGCUUAGUCUUGUAAGAAGAAAUCAAUUAAACACAACAAUUCAAGUUAUUCCCUUUUUUUUAUAUUUUUGGGUGUAAGCAAAACCUGUUGGGGCCAGCAACUUUCACACGUGUUGAAUAAACUAAACUUGAAAAGAGAUGAGUAAAGGAAUUGGUCCAUCAAUAAUUCAAGUUGCUCAGAAACCUUGUUUAAUUGAAAUUGGCAAAGGCCAAAAGCUUGCAUAUGCACCAAGAAAUUUACCAUCUCAUGGAACAUCUCAUUUAGGAUGGAGUAAAGAAAUGGAACCAUCGUCAUCUCAAGUUUCUCGACAAUGUGGUGCGAUUGGAAUCGAAAUGGACCAACCUAAUUUACGAGCGUCGACUACUUUAACUGUUGCUGGUAGAGGGUAGAGUAAAGGCAGGAAUUUUUCCGUCUGUGCCGUACAAGAUGCUUGUGGCACGAACCAGCAUGCUCGUGGAGGACAAAAUUCAAGAAUUCUACCAAAUCGUGGUAGCCGUGGCACAUGUAGUCAGUUAACUCGUGGAAGGCGAGGUGGAUGUGGAGCCAUAAACAAAGAAACCCGUGGUGGACGAGUCACAACCCGUUGUGGACGAGGCACAACCAGUGGUGGACGAGGCACAACCUCGUGGUGGAAGAAAAACAAUCUGUUCUGUGGUCCAAACCCACCCAAACGAUUUCAGCCAGUCAAGUAAAUUAUGCAGCGAGAAUGGAAAACAAACUUUUUAUCUUGGACAACGAUGAUGAUUACGAAGACUUGUUAUUUCGUGUCCUUGACAACUUCGAUGGAGCUGAAACUGAUUACCCAAAUGCUAACCCACAUGAGGUCGAACAAGAGGUCGGAGGUGGCAGGGACAAUGAUGAAGAUAAUGGUGAUAAUGAUGAUUUGGAGGAGUCAGAAGAAUAGGAUUUCCGUUUCAAUGUUGAGAAAUCUAAACUUCUACUGGACGCAUAUAAAAAGUUUCAAGAAAAAUGAUGUCAGGCAGGCAGAAAAAAAGACGAUCUGGACAAAGAUCACCAGUUACAUGGAAAGUAAGGGACACGCUGGAUUGACUGGUAACAUUUGCGAAAUAAAAUUUAAAAACAUGAAAGCACAGUAAAAGAACAUUAAGAAAAGAAAUGGCAAAAAAAGAAGAGGAGGACCUCCAUCGUGGCCUUACUAUGAUACUAUGGAUGAACUUCUGCGCCACGACGUGGCCGU
Daphnia pulex (common water flea) is the source of this 1717-nucleotide RNA transcript. RefSeq lists it as uncharacterized. The record is from RefSeq and is a predicted model, not a curated record. The transcript has 6 exons. NCBI's taxonomy places the organism in Eukaryota, Metazoa, Arthropoda, Branchiopoda, Diplostraca, Daphniidae.